UUAUUUUUUUUAUUUCUUUCCUUGUUUACAAGAAAAUAGAUAACUCGAGUGUUACAAACAAUAGUUUUUAAGGAAUAAUGUGAAAUAAGUUAGUUUUUAUAGGAUAGUAGAAAACUUAAUCAACAUGAUAACUUAAUAACAUUACCAGACACUAACUUAGAUGAUCCUGGAGCAAAGGCUGUAAUUUGACCUGAACCCAAAUUGGUCUCUAUUUGAAAUAUUGUCUUGAACCAAUAAGUUAAGAGGACUAAGUAACCUUUCUGGACGACAUUGCCAUCGACAUCACUGCAGAUGAGAGAGAAAGAGAGACCAGAGUUGUGGACCCUGGAGGCAAUUACCAUACUGCCGUGAUAAUGUUACUUGGUCUAACCAUAACUUAAGUGAGAACUGAAGCCUACCAGUAAAAUGGGGGCGUUGUAAUUAAUAUCCUCCGACAUUGAAGAAUACAGGGGAGAGGGGCAGAGGAAGAGGAGAUGGAGGAUGGGGAGAAGUAAAGACUAA
This is a long non-coding RNA of Macrosteles quadrilineatus (aster leafhopper), 501 nucleotides long. RefSeq lists it as uncharacterized. The record is from RefSeq and is a predicted model, not a curated record. The transcript has 3 exons. Lineage: Eukaryota; Metazoa; Arthropoda; Insecta; Hemiptera; Cicadellidae.